UACAGAGGGGGCAAGCGUUAUUCGGAAUUAUUGGGCGUAAAGGGCGCGUAGGCGGCCUGGCAAGUGGAAGGUGAAAUCCCUCGGCUUAACCGAGGAACUGCCCUCCAAACUGCUUGGCUUGAGUCCGGGAGAGGUGAGUGGAAUUCCCAGUGUAGCGGUGAAAUGCGUAGAUAUUGGGAAGAACACCAGUGGCGAAAGCGGACUUCUGGGUUGUUACUGACGCUGAGGUGCGAAAGCGUGGGGAGCAAACGGG
This 253-nucleotide ribosomal RNA is filed under the name uncultured bacterium. RNAcentral describes it as "partial 16S ribosomal RNA". It matches the Rfam family "Bacterial small subunit ribosomal RNA", at positions 524 to 776 of the family's 1533-position model. The record is from RNAcentral.